GUAGUCAUAUGCUUGUCUCAAA
This 22-nucleotide unclassified non-coding RNA is filed under the name Dictyostelium discoideum. The record is from RNAcentral. Lineage: Eukaryota; Evosea; Eumycetozoa; Dictyosteliales; Dictyosteliaceae.